UACAGGGGGGGCAAGCGUUGUUCGGAAUUACUGGGCGUAAAGGGUUCGUAGGUGGCCAACUAAGUCAGAUGUGAAAUCCCUCAGCUUAACUGGGGAACUGCUUCUGAUACUGGUUGGCUUGAGUGCAGGAGAGGAAUGCGGAAUUCCAGGUGUAGCGGUGAAAUGCGUAGAUAUCUGGAGGAACACCGGUGGCGAAGGCGGCAUUCUGGACUGUAACUGACACUGAGGAACGAAAGCCAGGGGAGCAAAC
Molecule: ribosomal RNA, 250 nt
Filed under: uncultured bacterium
Lineage: Bacteria
Description: partial 16S ribosomal RNA
Rfam family: Bacterial small subunit ribosomal RNA
Source: RNAcentral